RNAcentral lists this unclassified non-coding RNA (326 nucleotides) under Hevea brasiliensis (rubber tree). The record is from RNAcentral. Lineage: Eukaryota; Viridiplantae; Streptophyta; Magnoliopsida; Malpighiales; Euphorbiaceae.
GCCAAAUUGGAAAUGCCUAUGGUAAGUAUGUCUUCGACUGGAUGAUAUAAAAUUUGUUUUCAAUCUUUAUUUCUUGUGCUAACACUUUGUAUCCAAGUCAGGAAGAUUACAACGGACUAGCUGUCUUGAUACUAAGGCAUACAUGUUAAGAAUUUAAAGACUUGUCUUUUAUACACAGGCAUGUAAAAGUGCUAUUUUGAGUAAUUCUUUUCUUUUUCAGUAGGUCAAGAAAAAAAAAAAAAAUUGGUUAGCUCUUGUUUUAAAAUUUUAAAUAAUUCAGACGAAACGGUAAAUGUAAGAUCAAUCAACUUAUCUCAAACUAUAUU